AUGAACGCUGGCGGCGUGCCUAAUACAUGCAAGUCGAGCGAACGGACGAGAAGCUUGCUUCUCUGAUGUUAGCGGCGGACGGGUGAGUAACACGUGGAUAACCUACCUAUAAGACUGGGAUAACUUCGGGAAACCGGAGCUAAUACCGGAUGAUAUUUUGAACCACCUGGUUCAAAAGUGAAAGACGGUCUUGCUGUCCCUUAUAGAUGGAUCCGCGCUGCAUUAGCUAGUUGGUAAGGUAACGGCUUACCAAGGCAACGAUGCAUAGCCGACCUGAGAGGGUGAUCGGCCACACUGGAACUGAGACACGGUCCAGACUCCUACGGGAGGCAGCAGUAGGGAAUCUUCCGCAAUGGGCGAAAGCCUGACGGAGCAACGCCGCGUGAGUGAUGAAGGUCUUCGGAUCGUAAAACUCUGUUAUUAGGGAAGAACAUAUGUGUAAGUAACUGUGCACAUCUUGACGGUACCUAAUCAGAAAGCCACGGCUAACUACGUG
This 496-nucleotide ribosomal RNA is filed under the name uncultured bacterium. RNAcentral's name for it is "partial 16S ribosomal RNA". It matches the Rfam family "Bacterial small subunit ribosomal RNA", at positions 29 to 507 of the family's 1533-position model. The record is from RNAcentral.